CAGCAGCCGCGGUAAUACGUAGGUGGCAAGCGUUGUCCGGAAUUAUUGGGCGUAAAGGGCUCGCAGGCGGUUUCUUAAGUCUGAUGUGAAAGCCCCCGGCUCAACCGGGGAGGGUCAUUGGAAACUGGGAAACUUGAGUGCAGAAGAGGAGAGUGGAAUUCCACGUGUAGCGGUGAAAUGCGUAGAGAUGUGGAGGAACACCAGUGGCGAAGGCGACUCUCUGGUCUGUAGCUGACGCUGAGGAGCGAAAGCGUGGGGAGCGAACAGGAUUAGAUACCCGCGUAGUCCCUGUCUCUUAUAC
RNAcentral lists this ribosomal RNA (301 nucleotides) under uncultured bacterium. RNAcentral describes it as "partial 16S ribosomal RNA". It matches the Rfam family "Bacterial small subunit ribosomal RNA", at positions 509 to 807 of the family's 1533-position model. The record is from RNAcentral.